CCUACGGGGUGCUGCAGUGGGGAAUAUUGGACAAUGGGCGAAAGCCUGAUCCAGCCAUGCCGCGUGUGUGAAGAAGGCCUUCGGGUUGUAAAGCACUUUCAGUGGGGAAGAAAGCCUUGGGGCUAAUACCCUCGAGGAAGGACAUCACCCACAGAAGAAGCACCGGCUAACUCCGUGCCAGCAGCCGCGGUAAUACGGAGGGUGCGAGCGUUAAUCGGAAUUACUGGGCGUAAAGCGCGCGUAGGCGGUCUGAUAAGCCGGUUGUGAAAGCCCCGGGCUCAAACUGGGAACGGCAUCCGGAACUGUCAGGCUAGAGUGCAGGAGAGGAAGGUAGAAUUCCCGGUGUAGCGGUGAAAUGCGUAGAGAUCGGGAGGAAUACCAGUGGCGAAGGCGGCCUUCUGGACUGACACUGACGCUGAGGUGCGAAAGCGUGGGUAGCAAACAGGAUUAGAUACCCUAGUAGUC
This 465-nucleotide ribosomal RNA is filed under the name Vreelandella stevensii. RNAcentral's name for it is "partial 16S ribosomal RNA". It matches the Rfam family "Bacterial small subunit ribosomal RNA", at positions 338 to 795 of the family's 1533-position model. The record is from RNAcentral. Lineage: Bacteria; Pseudomonadati; Pseudomonadota; Gammaproteobacteria; Oceanospirillales; Halomonadaceae.